RNAcentral lists this long non-coding RNA (1911 nucleotides) under Cottoperca gobio. RNAcentral's name for it is "lncRNA (ENSCGOG00000012457.1)". Lineage: Eukaryota; Metazoa; Chordata; Actinopteri; Perciformes; Bovichtidae. The record is from RNAcentral.
AUGACAAUUGUUCCAAAGUGGCAGUUUAAUCCCAGUUAUCUACUGUGUUUCUUUACUGUACUCUACUGUGUUUCUUUACUGUACUCUACUGUGUUUCUUUACUGUACUCUACUCUGUUUCUUUACUGUACUCUACUGUGUUUCUUUACUGUACUCUACUCUGUUUCUUUACUAUACUCUACUGUGUUUCUUUACUGUCCUCUACUGUGUUUCUUUACUGUACUCUACUGUAUUUCUUUACUGUACUCUACUGUGUUUCUUUACUAUACUCUACUGUAUUUCUUUACUGUACUCUACUGUGUUUCUUUACUAUACUCUACUGUAUUUCUUUACUGUACUCUACUGUGUUUCUUUACUAUACUCUACUGUAUUUCUUUACUGUACUCUACUGUGUUUCUUUACUGUACUCUACUCUGUUUCUUUACUGUACUCUACUGUGUUUCUUUACUGUACUCUACUCUGUUUCUUUACUAUACUCUACUGUGUUUCUUUACUAUACUCUACUGUAUUUCUUUACUGUACUCUACUGUGUUUCUUUACUAUACUCUACUCUGUUUCUUUACUGUACUCUACUGUGUUUCUUUACUGUACUCUACUGUGUUUCUUUACUGUACUCUACUGUGUUUCUUUACUAUACUCUACUGUAUUUCUUUACUAUACUCUACUGUAUUUCUUUACUGUACUCUACUGUGUUUCUUUACUGUACUCUACUGUGUUUCUUUACUAUACUCUACUGUAUUUCUUUACUGUACUCUACUGUGUUUCUUUACUAUACUCUACUGUGUUUCUUUACUGUACUCUACUUGCGUUUCUUUACUAUACUCUACUGCGUUUCUUUACUAUACUCUACUGUGUUUCUUUACUGUACUCUACUGUAUUUCUUUACUGUACUCUACUGUGUUUCUUUACUAUACUCUACUGUAUUUCUUUACUGUACUCUACUGUGUUUCUUUACUAUACUCUACUGUAUUUCUUUACUGUACUCUACUGUGUUUCUUUACUGUACUCUACUCUGUUUCUUUACUGUACUCUACUCUGUUUCUUUACUAUACUCUACUCUGUUUCUUUACUGUACUCUACUGUGUUUCUUUACUGUACUCUACUGUGUUUCUUUACUGUACUCUACUCUGUUUCUUUACUGUACUCUACUCUGUUUCUUUACUAUACUCUACUGUAUUUCUUUACUGUACUCUACUGUGUUUCUUUACUAUACUCUACUGUAUUUCUUUACUGUACUCUACUGUGUUUCUUUACUAUACUCUACUGUGUUUCUUUACUGUACUCUACUCUGUUUCUUUACUGUACUCUACUGUGUUUCUUUACUGUACUCUACUCUGUUUCUUUACUGUACUCUACUGUGUUUCUUUACUGUACUCUACUCUGUUUCUUUACUAUACUCUACUCUGUUUCUUUACUGUACUCUACUGUGUUUCUUUACUGUACUCUACUGUGUUUCUUUACUGUACUCUACUCUGUUUCUUUACUGUACUCUACUCUGUUUCUUUACUAUACUCUACUGUAUUUCUUUACUGUACUCUACUGUGUUUCUUUACUAUACUCUACUGUAUUUCUUUACUGUACUCUACUGUGUUUCUUUACUAUACUCUACUGUAUUUCUUUACUGUACUCUACUGUGUUUCUUUACUGUACUCUACUCUGUUUCUUUACUGUACUCUACUCUGUUUCUUUACUGUACUCUACUCUGUUUCUUUACUGUACUCUACUGUGUUUCUUUACUGUACUCUACUGUGUUUCUUUACUAUACUCUACUGUAUUUCUUUACUAUACUCUACUGUAUUUCUUUACUGUACUCUACUGUGUUUCUUUACUGUACUCUACUGUGUUUCUUUACUAUACUCUAUUGUAUUUCUUUACUUUACUCUACUGGGCUCAUGUAAUUAUAAAACAUUAG